RNAcentral lists this ribosomal RNA (898 nucleotides) under uncultured bacterium. RNAcentral's name for it is "bacterial SSU rRNA". It matches the Rfam family "Bacterial small subunit ribosomal RNA", at positions 8 to 888 of the family's 1533-position model. The record is from RNAcentral.
AGAGUUUGAUCCUGGCUCAGGAUGAACGCUGGCGGCGUGCCUAAUACAUGCAAGUCGAGCGAACAGACGAGGAGCUUGCUCCUCUGACGUUAGCGGCGGACGGGUGAGUAACACGUGGAUAACCUACCUAUAAGACUGGGAUAACUUCGGGAAACCGGAGCUAAUACCGGAUAAUAUAUUGAACCGCAUGGUUCAAUAGUGAAAGACGGUUUUGCUGUCACUUAUAGAUGGAUCCGCGCCGCAUUAGCUAGUUGGUAAGGUAACGGCUUACCAAGGCAACGAUGCGUAGCCGACCUGAGAGGGUGAUCGGCCACACUGGAACUGAGACACGGUCCAGACUCCUACGGGAGGCAGCAGUAGGGAAUCUUCCGCAAUGGGCGAAAGCCUGACGGAGCAACGCCGCGUGAGCGAUGAAGGUCUUCGGAUCGUAAAACUCUGUUAUUAGGGAAGAACAAAUGUGUAAGUAACUAUGCACGUCUUGACGGUACCUAAUCAGAAAGCCACGGCUAACUACGUGCCAGCAGCCGCGGUAAUACGUAGGUGGCAAGCGUUAUCCGGAAUUAUUGGGCGUAAAGCGCGCGUAGGCGGUUUUUUAAGUCUGAUGUGAAAGCCCACGGCUCAACCGUGGAGGGUCAUUGGAAACUGGAAAACUUGAGUGCAGAAGAGGAAAGUGGAAUUCCAUGUGUAGCGGUGAAAUGCGCAGAGAUAUGGAGGAACACCAGUGGCGAAGGCGACUUUCUGGGUCUGUAACUGACGCUGAUGUGCGAAGCGUGGGAUCAAACAGGAUUAGAUACCCUGGUAGUCCACGUCGUAAACCAUGAGUGCUAAGUGUUAGGGGGUUUUCCUCCCAUAGUGCUGCCACUAACGCAUUAAGCACUCCGGCUGGGGAGUACGACCG